AACAGCUCAAAUUUGAAAUCUGGCCCUCGGGUCCGAGUUGUAAUUUGUAGAGGAUGCUUUUGGCGCGGUGCCUUCCGAGUUCCCUGGAACGGGACGCCUUAGAGGGUGAGAGCCCCGUACGGUUGGACACCAAGCCUCUGUAAAGCUCCUUCGACGAGUCGAGUAGUUUGGGAAUGCUGCUCUAAAUGGGAGGUAAAUUUCUUCUAAAGCUAAAUAUUGGCCAGAGACCGAUAGCGCACAAGUAGAGUGAUCGAAAGAUGAAAAGCACUUUGAAAAGAGGGUUAAACAGCACGUGAAAUUGUUGAAAGGGAAGCGUUUGCGACCAGACCUUUUCCUGGCGGAUCAUCCGGUGGUUUCCACCGGUGCACUUCGCCAGGUCGAGGCCAGCAUCGGUCUCUGUAGGGGGAUAAAAGCUCGGGGAACGUAGCUCCUCCGGGAGUGUUAUAGCCCUCUGCAUAAUACCCUUAUGGGGACCGAGGACCGCGCCUUCGGGCAAGGAUGCUGGCGUAAUGGUUGUCAACGACCCGUCUUGAAACACGGACCAAGGAGUCGAACAUUUGUGCGAGUGUUUGGGUGUCAAACCCUCACGCGUAAUGAAAGUGAACGGAGGUGAGAGCCCUUACGGGUGCAUCAUCGACCGAUCCUGAUGUCUUCGGAUGGAUUUGAGUAAGAGCAUAACUGUUCGGACCCGAAAGAUGGUGAACUAUGCGUGGAUAGGGUGAAGCCAGAGGAAACUCUGGUGGAGGCUCGCAGCGGUUCUGACGUGCAAAUCGAUCGUCAAAUCUGCG
RNAcentral lists this ribosomal RNA (788 nucleotides) under Nemania caries. Its description in RNAcentral is "partial large subunit ribosomal RNA". It matches the Rfam family "Eukaryotic large subunit ribosomal RNA", at positions 103 to 915 of the family's 3401-position model. Lineage: Eukaryota; Fungi; Ascomycota; Sordariomycetes; Xylariales; Xylariaceae. The record is from RNAcentral.